This 331-nucleotide unclassified non-coding RNA is filed under the name soil metagenome. Its description in RNAcentral is "partial contains 5.8S ribosomal RNA, internal transcribed spacer 2, and large subunit ribosomal RNA". The stretch from base 1 to 120 matches the Rfam family "5.8S ribosomal RNA", at positions 35 to 154 of the family's 154-position model. The record is from RNAcentral.
GACGAAGAACGUAGCGAAAUGCGAUAAGUAAUGUGAAUUGCAGAAUUCAGUGAAUCAUCGAAUCUUUGAACGCACAUUGCGCCCCCUGGUAUUCCGGGGGGCAUGCCUGUUCGAGCGUCAUUUCACCACUCAAGCCUCGCUUGGUAUUGGGCAACGCGGUCCGCCGCGUGCCUCAAAUCGACCGGCUGGGUCUUCUGUCCCCUAAGCGUUGUGGAAACUAUUCGCUAAAGGGUGCUCGGGAGGCUACGCCGUAAAACAAACCCAUUUCUAAGGUUGACCUCGGAUCAGGUAGGGAUACCCGCUGAACUUAAGCAUAUCAAUAAGCGGAGGA